RNAcentral lists this unclassified non-coding RNA (505 nucleotides) under Plectosphaerella cucumerina. Its description in RNAcentral is "partial contains ITS1, 5.8S rRNA, ITS2". The stretch from base 149 to 302 matches the Rfam family "5.8S ribosomal RNA". The record is from RNAcentral. Lineage: Eukaryota; Fungi; Ascomycota; Sordariomycetes; Glomerellales; Plectosphaerellaceae.
GGAUCAUUACUGAGUACUACACUCUCUACCCUUUGUGAACUAUUAUACCUGUUGCUUCGGCGGCGCCCGCAAGGGUGCCCGCCGGUCUCAUCAGAAUCUCUGUUUUCGAACCCGACGAUACUUCUGAGUGUUCUUAGCGAACUGUCAAAACUUUUAACAACGGAUCUCUUGGCUCCAGCAUCGAUGAAGAACGCAGCGAAACGCGAUAUGUAAUGUGAAUUGCAGAAUUCAGUGAAUCAUCGAAUCUUUGAACGCACAUGGCGCCUUCCAGUAUCCUGGGAGGCAUGCCUGUCCGAGCGUCGUUUCAACCCUCGAGCCCCUGUGGCCCGGCGUUGGGGAUCUGCCACGGCAGGCCCCUAAAACCAGUGGCGGACCCGAAGGCCCUCUCCUUUGCGCAGUAGCAUCAGCCUCGCAUUGGGAUCCCUCGGCGUCCUGCCUCUAAACCCCCCACAAGUCCGCUCCGGCGGCACCAAGGUUGACCUCGGAUCAGGUAAAGGUAGGAAUA